CGGAGGUGCAAGCGUUAUCCGGAUUUACUGGGUUUAAAGGGUGCGUAGGUGGUAAGUAAGUCAGUGGUGAAAUCUUCGAGCUUAACUCGGAAACUGCCAUUGAUACUAUUUAUCUUGAAUACUUUGGAGGUAAGCGGAAUAUGUCAUGUAGCGGUGAAAUGCUUAGAUAUGACAUAGAACACCAAUUGCGAAGGCAGCUUACUACACAGUCAUUGACACUGAGGCACGAAAGCGUGGGAUCAAACAGGAUU
This 251-nucleotide ribosomal RNA is filed under the name uncultured bacterium. RNAcentral's name for it is "partial 16S ribosomal RNA". It matches the Rfam family "Bacterial small subunit ribosomal RNA", at positions 527 to 779 of the family's 1533-position model. The record is from RNAcentral.